RNAcentral lists this ribosomal RNA (253 nucleotides) under uncultured archaeon. RNAcentral's name for it is "partial 16S ribosomal RNA". It matches the Rfam family "Archaeal small subunit ribosomal RNA", at positions 474 to 726 of the family's 1478-position model. The record is from RNAcentral.
UCCCGGCGCCACAAGUAGGGACCAGGGUUAUUGGGCCUAAAGCGUUCGUAGCAGGUCGUAUAAAUCUCUUGUGAAAUCUUUGGGCUUAACCUAACGGCGUGCAGGAGAGACUGUUCGACUUGAGACCGGGAGGGGUUGAGAGUAUUCCUUGGGGAGCGGUAAAAUGCUAUAAUCCUUGGAAGACUACCUGUGGCGAAGGCGCUCAACCAGAACGGGUCUGACUGUGAGGGACGAAAGCCAGGGGAGCAAUCCG